RNAcentral lists this ribosomal RNA (907 nucleotides) under uncultured Bacillota bacterium. RNAcentral's name for it is "bacterial SSU rRNA". It matches the Rfam family "Bacterial small subunit ribosomal RNA", at positions 1 to 916 of the family's 1533-position model. The record is from RNAcentral. Lineage: Bacteria; Bacillati; Bacillota.
GGAUCCAGACUUUGAUUCUGGCUCCCGUUGAACGCUGGCGGCGUGCUUAACACAUGCAAGUCGAACGUAGCACUUCAUAAAGUUUACUUUAAGAAGUGACUUAGUGGCGGACGGGUGAGUAACGCGUGGGUAACCUGCCUUACACAGGGGGAUAACAGUUAGAAAUGACUGCUAAUACCGCAUAAAACAGCAGAGUCGCAUGACUCAACUGUCAAAGAUUUAUCGGUGUAAGAUGGACCCGCGUCUGAUUAGCUUGUUGGUGGGGUAACGGCCUACCAAGGCAACGAUCAGUAGCCGGCCUGAGAGGGUGAACGGCCACAUUGGGACUGAGACACGGCCCAAACUCCUACGGGAGGCAGCAGUGGGGAAUAUUGGACAAUGGGCGAAAGCCUGAUCCAGCGACGCCGCGUGAGCGAUGAAGUAUUUCGGUAUGUAAAGCUCUAUCAGCAGGGAAGAAAACGACGGUACCUGACUAAGAAGCCCCGGCUAACUACGUGCCAGCAGCCGCGGUAAUACGUAGGGGGCAAGCGUUAUCCGGAUUUACUGGGUGUAAAGGGAGCGUAGACGGCAUCACAAGUCAGAAGUGAAAAUCCGGGGCUCAACCCCGGAACUGCUUUUGAAACUGCGGAGCUGGAGUGCAGGAGAGGUAAGCGGAAUUCCUAGUGUAGCGGUGAAAUGCGUAGAUAUUAGGAGGAACACCAGUGGCGAAGGCGGCUUACUGGACUGUAACUGACGUUGAGGCUCGAAAGCGUGGGGAGCAAACAGGAUUAGAUACCCUGGUAGUCCACGCUGUAAACGAUGAAUACUAGGUGUUGGGUUUCAUAAGAAGCUCGGUGCCGGCGCAAACGCAUUAAGUAUUCCACCUGGGGAGUACGUUCGCAAGAAUGCAACUCAAAUGAAUUGACGG